UACAGAGGGUGCAAGCGUUAAUCGGAAUUACUGGGCGUAAAGCGUGCGUAGACGGUAGCGUAAGUCGGGUGUGAAAGCCCCGGGCUCAACCUGGGAAUUGCAUUCGAGACUGCUCUGCUAGGGUGCGGAAGAGGGGAGCGGAAUUUCCGGUGUAGCGGUGAAAUGCGUAGAUAUCGGAAGGAACACCAGUGGCGAAAGCGGCUCCCUGGUCCAGCACCAACGUUCAGGCACGAAAGCGUGGGGAGCAAACAGG
This 253-nucleotide ribosomal RNA is filed under the name uncultured bacterium. RNAcentral describes it as "partial 16S ribosomal RNA". It matches the Rfam family "Bacterial small subunit ribosomal RNA", at positions 524 to 776 of the family's 1533-position model. The record is from RNAcentral.